CUUGGGGGGGGGCGGGGUCCCUCAGCCCGGAUUGCAAGAGGGGCAGGCCAGGUUGAGGGACUCCACCGGUGCAGG
Molecule: microRNA precursor, 75 nt
Filed under: Myotis davidii
Lineage: Eukaryota; Metazoa; Chordata; Mammalia; Chiroptera; Vespertilionidae
Description: mir-9193 microRNA precursor family
Rfam family: mir-9193 microRNA precursor family
Source: Rfam by way of RNAcentral